Molecule: ribosomal RNA, 795 nt
Filed under: uncultured Bacteroidota bacterium
Lineage: Bacteria; Pseudomonadati; Bacteroidota
Description: bacterial SSU rRNA
Rfam family: Bacterial small subunit ribosomal RNA
Source: RNAcentral
CGCUAGCGGCAGGCUAACACAUGCAAGUCGAGGGAGAAGCCUUCGGGCUGAAACCGGCGCACGGGUGCGUAACGCGUAUACAAUCUGCCUUUCACAUAGGGAUAGCCCGAAGAAAUUUGGAUUAAUACCUAAUGGUAUAUAGGAGCGGCGUCGUUUUUAUAUUAAAGCUACGGUGGUGAAAGAUGAGUAUGCGUUCUAUCAGCUAGUUGGAGAGGUAACGGCUCCCCAAGGCGACGAUAGAUAGGGGUUCUGAGAGGGAUGUCCCCCACACUGGUACUGAGAUACGGACCAGACUCCUACGGGAGGCAGCAGUGAGGAAUAUUGGACAAUGGUCGGAAGACUGAUCCAGCCAUGCCGCGUGCAGGAUGAAGGUCCUAUGGAUUGUAAACUGCUUUUGUAAGGGAAGAAUAAGGGGUACGUGUACUUUGAUGACGGUACCUUACGAAUAAGCAUCGGCUAACUCCGUGCCAGCAGCCGCGGUAAUACGGAGGAUGCGAGCGUUAUCCGGAAUCAUUGGGUUUAAAGGGUCCGUAGGCGGGCUAAUAAGUCAGAGGUGAAAGCGUUCAGCUCAACUGAGCAACUGCCUUUGAAACUGUUAGUCUUGAAUGAUUGUGAAGUAGUUGGAAUGUGUAGUGUAGCGGUGAAAUGCUUAGAUAUUACACAGAACACCGAUAGCGAAGGCAUAUUACUAACAAUUUAUUGACGCUGAUGGACGAAAGCGUGGGGAGCGAACAGGAUUAGAUAACCUGGUAGUCCACGCUGUAAACGAUGGAUACUAGCUGUUUGGAGCAAUCU